RNAcentral lists this long non-coding RNA (244 nucleotides) under Mustela putorius furo (domestic ferret). RNAcentral describes it as "lncRNA (ENSMPUG00000024816.1)". Lineage: Eukaryota; Metazoa; Chordata; Mammalia; Carnivora; Mustelidae. The record is from RNAcentral.
GAAAUGAGGAUAUGCUGGCCAAAGAGGACAGACAUCCAGUUAUGAGAUGAUGAAGUCACAGCAUGGAUGUUUGUCAUUCCUUAAUAUUUACUCAAAGAAGUUGAAAAACUUGUGUCCGCACCACAACCCACACACGGAUGUUUCCAGCAGCUUUACUGUUGAUGGCCAAAACCUGGAAGCAGCCGAGAACCCCCAGUGGACAGAUGGAGAAGUAAACAGACGAUGGAAUACUAUUCAGCACUAA